AGCGGAGGAAAAGAAACCAACAGGGAUUGCCUUAGUAGCGGCGAGUGAAGCGGCAAGAGCUCAAAUUUGAAAUCUGGCGUAAGCCCGAGUUGUAAUUUGAAGAAGAUAUUCUUGGAAUUGGUCCUUGUCUAUGUUCCUUGGAACAGGACGUCACAGAGGGUGAGAAUCCCGUGCGACAAGGAAUUCUUUUCUUUAUAAGAUGUCUUCGAAGAGUCGAGUUGUUUGGGAAUGCAGCUCAAAGUGGGUGGUAAAUUCCAUCUAAAGCUAAAUAUUGGCGAGAGACCGAUAGCGAACAAGUACUGUGAAGGAAAGAUGAAAAGAACUUUGAAAAGAGAGUGAAAAAGUACGUGAAAUUGUUGAAAGGGAAGGGUAUUCGAUCAGACUGGUAUUUAAUUAUCGCUACUCCUUGUGGGUGGUGCUCUAAUUUCUUACUGGGCCAACAUCAGUUUUGGUGGUAAGAUAAUCGCAGUUGAAUGUGGCUCCUCGGAGUGUUAUAGCUUCUGUUGAUGUUACCUACCGGGACUGAGGUCUGCGACUUUGUCUAGGAUGUUGGCGUAAUGAUCCAAUACCGCCCGUC
This 577-nucleotide ribosomal RNA is filed under the name [Candida] sp. CLIB 1156. Its description in RNAcentral is "eukaryotic LSU rRNA". It matches the Rfam family "Eukaryotic large subunit ribosomal RNA", at positions 49 to 653 of the family's 3401-position model. Lineage: Eukaryota; Fungi; Ascomycota; Saccharomycetes; Saccharomycetales. The record is from RNAcentral.